This 513-nucleotide ribosomal RNA is filed under the name Oceanobacillus sp. EMB10. RNAcentral's name for it is "bacterial SSU rRNA". It matches the Rfam family "Bacterial small subunit ribosomal RNA", at positions 27 to 506 of the family's 1533-position model. The record is from RNAcentral. Lineage: Bacteria; Bacillati; Bacillota; Bacilli; Caryophanales; Bacillaceae.
GGACGAACGCUGGCGGCGUGCCUAAUACAUGCAAGUCGAGCGCAKGAARUUAUCAUGAUYCUCUUCGGAGGUGACGAUAAUGGAAUGAGCGGCGGACGGGUGAGUAACACGUAGGCAACCUGCCUGUAAGACUGGGAUAACUCGUGGAAACGCGAGCUAAUACCGGAUAACACUUUUCAUCUCCUGAUGAGAAGUUGAAAGGCGGCUUUUGCUGUCACUUACAGAUGGGCCUGCGGCGCAUUAGCUAGUUGGUAAGGUAACGGCUUACCAAGGCGACGAUGCGUAGCCGACCUGAGAGGGUGAUCGGCCACACUGGGACUGAGACACGGCCCAGACUCCUACGGGAGGCAGCAGUAGGGAAUCUUCCGCAAUGGACGAAAGUCUGACGGAGCAACGCCGCGUGAGUGAUGAAGGUUUUCGGAUCGUAAAACUCUGUUGUUAGGGAAGAACAAGUACUAUAGUAACUGAUAGUACCUUGACGGUACCUAACCAGAAAGCCACGGCUAACUACGU